AGAGUUUGAUCAUGGCUCAGAAUCAACGCUGGCGGCGCGCUUAACACAUGCAAGUCGCACGAGAAAGUGGAGCAAUCCAUGAGUAAAGUGGCGUACGGGUGAGUAACACGUGGAUCAUCUGCCUCUUAGUGGGGAAUAACCCUGGGAAACCGGGGCUAAUACCGCAUAAGCCUGGAAAGGGAAAGCAGCAAUGCGCUGAGAGAGGAGUCCGCGGCCGAUUAGCUAGUUGGUAGGGUAAAGGCCUACCAAGGCAAUGAUCGGUAGCCGGCCUGAGAGGGCACACGGCCACACUGGCACUGAAACACGGGCCAGACUCCUACGGGAGGCAGCAGUGGGGAAUCUUGCACAAUGGAGGAAACUCUGAUGCAGCGACGCCGCGUGAGCGAUGAGGCCCUUCGGGGUGUAAAGCUCUUUCGACGGGAACGAUAAUGACGGUACCCGGAGAAGAAGCUGCGGCUAACUACGUGCCAGCAGCCGCGGUAAUACGUAGGCAGCAAGCGUUGUUCGGAAUUACUGGGCGUAAAGAGUGUGUAGGCGGUUCUCUAUGUUCGGUGUGAAAUCUCCCGGCUUAACUGGGAGGGUGCGCCGAAAACUGGAGGGCUUGAGUAUGGGAGAGGAAAGCGGAAUUCCUGGUGUAGCGGUGAAAUGCGUAGAUAUCAGGAGGAACACCUGCGGUGUAGACGGCUUUCUGGACCAUCACUGACGCUGAGACACGAAAGCGUGGGGAGCAAACAGGAUUAGAUACCCCCGUAGUCC
RNAcentral lists this ribosomal RNA (756 nucleotides) under uncultured bacterium. RNAcentral describes it as "bacterial SSU rRNA". It matches the Rfam family "Bacterial small subunit ribosomal RNA", at positions 8 to 796 of the family's 1533-position model. The record is from RNAcentral.